Molecule: ribosomal RNA, 253 nt
Filed under: uncultured bacterium
Lineage: Bacteria
Description: partial 16S ribosomal RNA
Rfam family: Bacterial small subunit ribosomal RNA
Source: RNAcentral
UACGGAGGGUGCAAGCGUUAUCCGGAUUUACUGGGUUUAAAGGGUGUGUAGGUGGCGCCGUAAGUCGGGUGUGAAAUUUCGAGGCUUAACCUCGAAACUGCAUUCGAUACUGCGGUGCUUGAGGACUGGAGAGGAGACUGGAAUUCAUGGCGUAGCAGUGAAAUGCGUAGAUAUCAUGAGGAAGACCAGUGGCGAAGGCGGGUCUCUGGACAGUUCCUGACACUGAGACACGAAGGCCAGGGGAGCAAACGGG